This 84-nucleotide transfer RNA is filed under the name Candidatus Uhrbacteria bacterium. RNAcentral describes it as "tRNA-Phe". It matches the Rfam family "tRNA". From Rfam's summary of the family: Transfer RNA (tRNA) molecules are approximately 80 nucleotides in length. Their secondary structure includes four short double-helical elements and three loops (D, anti-codon, and T loops). The record is from RNAcentral. Lineage: Bacteria; Candidatus Uhriibacteriota.
GCCUGGGUAGCUCAGUGGUAGAGCAGAGGACUNNGAGGACUGAAAAUCCUCGUGUCGUCAGUUCAAUUCUGACCCCAGGCACCA